This 449-nucleotide ribosomal RNA is filed under the name uncultured bacterium. RNAcentral's name for it is "partial 16S ribosomal RNA". It matches the Rfam family "Bacterial small subunit ribosomal RNA", at positions 29 to 523 of the family's 1533-position model. The record is from RNAcentral.
AAUGAACGCUGGCGGCAGGCCUAACACAUGCAAGUCGAACGGAUCCUUCGGGAUUAGUGGCGGACGGGUGAGUAACGCGUGGGAACAUACCCUUUGGUACGGAAUAGCCUCGGGAAACUGGGAGUAAUACCGUAUGUGGUCGAGAGACGAAAGAUUUAUCGCCAAAGGAUUGGCCCGCGUUGGAUUAGGUAGUUGGUGGGGUAAUGGCCUACCAAGCCGACGAUCCAUAGCUGGUUUGAGAGGAUGAUCAGCCACACUGGGACUGAGACCCGGCCCAGACUACUACGGGAGGCAGCAGUGGGGAAUCUUAGACAAUGGGGGAAACCCUGAUCUAGCCAUGCCGCGUGAUCGAUGAAGGCCUUAGGGUUGUAAAGAUCUUUCAGGUGGGAAGAUAAUGACUGUACCACCAGAAGAAACCCCGGCUAACUCCGUGCCAGCCGCCGCGGUAA